Small RNA from Xenorhabdus szentirmaii DSM 16338, 142 nucleotides. The record is from Rfam. Lineage: Bacteria; Pseudomonadati; Pseudomonadota; Gammaproteobacteria; Enterobacterales; Morganellaceae.
AAACAAAAAAAGGCCGAGUCUAUUCCUCUACUCGGCCUAGGGAAAUUGGUUUCCAUCAAAGAACCACCUAUAGCGGUUACUCUUGAGACAUUGAGCAACUAACUAUUGUAAGCGUAGUUGACAUGCUUUGAUUUACCAAAUU